This is a long non-coding RNA of Canis lupus familiaris (dog), 622 nucleotides long. RefSeq lists it as uncharacterized. NCBI's taxonomy places the organism in Eukaryota, Metazoa, Chordata, Mammalia, Carnivora, Canidae. The transcript has 2 exons. The record is from RefSeq and is a predicted model, not a curated record.
UGGCACUGUUCAACAUUCCUGAUCCAGAAACUUCUGAGCAUCUUGUUGCCUCCAACACUUAUGGAAGGAAAGGGGGCUGGGCUCCACUCGGGGUGAAUCUUACUGUGCCGGCCCCCUGUGAACAGUGGCCCGGGAAUGGGCUACAUCACUAACCAUGGCUCCUGGGGUCUUAGGGAUUGUCAGAGAGCCCCCUCACGCUACCCAGCUGAGAGCUAAAGGACCUAAAGGCUUGUGAUAUCAGUGGCCUUUCCCAAAUUUGAAGGAGAUUCGAUUGACCCUCUGACUUUUCUCCGAAGGAUGGACAACCCCAGAUUCUUGGCCAUCUUGGGUAAAAGUGAAGAGAAACAUCAGGAAGGCUCCCCGAGGGAAACACAGACCUCCAUGAGAAUCUGAGCUACUAGCACAGCCCGUUGGGAGCCAGCACCUCACUUCUGUGUGAUCCCCCAUGAUGGAAGGUGAUGGGAGAGGCCCUCGCAUCAGGUUCAUGGACCCAGCCCAGCUGCAGCUCUCCUCAACAGCUCUCCUCACUUGGGUCCACAUUCCUGGUGCUAGAACCACAAACAGGCUUUUGUAACCCACCCCAGGGGCUUGCUUCCCAUAAAACAAUUUAUGCGCUUAGAUA